AACUAAUAAUAGAAAUAGUUUAUUGUUAAACUAUCACUUAUUUAUUUCGAUAAAUAACAUUUAAAACUAUCUCUAACAAUGUUUAUUUAAAAUGUUUUCCAACACUGUCAUAACAGCAAUUAAUUGUCAAUCUUAUCAACUUCCUACUUCCUUAAUGUUAUUUUGAAUUUCGGAAUUUAAUUUAUGAAAAUUUUAAGUACAAAGUUUGUCAAAUCAAGACAAAGUAAUGAAAGUAUUCGGUAUUAAAUCCAAUAAUCAAUCGGAAUUUCGCACGGUUUACAAUAUUCAAUAAUAUGAAAUAAGCUUUUCGAAUUAUGGGAAAAGAACUCUUGGGUUUUAAUACCACUAUGACUGCACUCCACUUUAGUUGAGACUACGUUAAGGAACGGACCGCUUUAGGUACUAGAGAAUUGUAUCUACCAGCUGUGAAAACAUCGCCAGCAUCAAGUGUUGUUACGUGUGCUUUCUCAUGAUCAAUAUGGUGAAUACACUCAUCCGCACUGUAACCCAAAAAACAUGUGAGAU
Long non-coding RNA from Zeugodacus cucurbitae (melon fly), 525 nucleotides. RefSeq lists it as uncharacterized. The record is from RefSeq and is a predicted model, not a curated record. Lineage: Eukaryota; Metazoa; Arthropoda; Insecta; Diptera; Tephritidae. The transcript is spliced from 2 exons.